This 198-nucleotide ribosomal RNA is filed under the name Triticum aestivum (bread wheat). RNAcentral's name for it is "partial small subunit ribosomal RNA". The record is from RNAcentral. Lineage: Eukaryota; Viridiplantae; Streptophyta; Magnoliopsida; Poales; Poaceae.
AUGGGGUUUAAAGAUUUGGAGAGUUUUAAUUUGGCCAUGUUAUCUAAACAAUGUUGGAGACUGCUGAGCGAGCCAAACUCUUUGUGUACCCAAGUGCUUCGUGCAAAGUAUUACCCUUCAGGUGAUCUUUUGAAUUGUGAUUUGAAGAAGGGGAGCUCUUACACGUGGCAAAGUUUAUGGGCAGGUAUACAAACGUUU